GAUGAAGAACGUAGCGAAAUGCGAUAAGUAAUGCGAAUUGCAGAAUUCCAGUGAGUCAUCGAAUCUUUGAACGCACAUUGCGCCCUUUGGUAUUCCGAAGGGCAUGCCUGUUCGAGCGUCAUUAUCACCCCUCAAGCCCUCGGCUUGGUGUUGGACGGUUUGGUGGAGGCCCCCUCGGGGGCUCCUGCCCCUCCCAAAGACAAUGACGGCGGCCUCGUUGGACCCCCGGUACACUGAGUUCUUCACGGGACACGUAUCGGACACAUGGGUUUACGGGACACGGUCUGCCUCCCCUCAGGGAGAAUCUUUCUAAGGUUGACCUCGGAUCAGGUAGGGAUACCCGCUGAACUUAAGCAUAUCAAUAAAGCGGAGGA
RNAcentral lists this unclassified non-coding RNA (374 nucleotides) under soil metagenome. Its description in RNAcentral is "partial contains 5.8S ribosomal RNA, internal transcribed spacer 2, and large subunit ribosomal RNA". The stretch from base 1 to 121 matches the Rfam family "5.8S ribosomal RNA", at positions 35 to 154 of the family's 154-position model. The record is from RNAcentral.